GGGGGGGGGGGUUUAGGUUUUUUUGGGUUUAUGUUUAGGGUUUAGUAUUAGGUUUUCGGGAGAGGGGGGUUAGGUUUUUGGAGGGUGUCGGUGGGGGUGGGUUAAGUGGUUUAGGCUUUUCGUGUUAUUGCACAUGUGCAAUACAAAUUUUAUUUUAUUUUUUUGGAAAAAAAAAUUUAUAUAUAUAAACCUGCAAAAAUAAAUAAUAAAAUUGUGAAAUUUUUUUGGUAUGUUUUUUAGGCUUUUUAUUUUGUUUUUUGUUUCUCAUUUAAACUAGUUUUCUAAUGAUCCAUCCCCUAUAUAUAUGUUUAUAAUCGUAUUGAGGUUAGACAAUUGUAAGUUAAAACUUAGAAUUAAUGGGAUUUGAAAAUUGAAAGUUGAAACUUAAAUUUUCAUAGGAGCACGAGUUUUGUCACUCAUCCCAGACCCAAACCGUUUUGAGAAUUCUCGGGAACGGCCCUGAUAAUAAUAUAUCAUUUGUAAAUUGUAAUCACAUUUUACGGGUAAAGAUCAAAUACAAAUGAGUUCUAAAUAUUAAACAUGAGAAGUGAAGGAAGUUUUUUUUAUUUGACAAUUCCUUUACCACCUACUUAAGCAUGAUAUUUACUUGCAAUUUGAAAAAAAAACUUUUAUUUUACUCUAUUAGAGUAAUCAUGUGUAAUUACACUAGAGUGAUUACAUAAUUAAUAUACUAGUGU
Molecule: long non-coding RNA, 698 nt
Filed under: Helianthus annuus (common sunflower)
Lineage: Eukaryota; Viridiplantae; Streptophyta; Magnoliopsida; Asterales; Asteraceae
Description: hypothetical non coding rna
Source: RNAcentral